UCGAGAAUAUUCGACAAUGGGCGAAAGCCUGAUCGAGCGACGCCGCGUGCAGGAAGAAGUGGCUUUGCCAUGUAAACUGCUUUUGCGUAGGAAAAAUUUUGAUUGUACUACGAGAAUAAGGGGUUGCUAACCUCGUGCCAGCAGCAGCGGUAAUACGAGGACCCCGAGCGUUAUCCGGAAUUACUGGGCGUAAAGAGCGAGUAGUCGGUUUUGCUAGUCGAAUGUUAAAUCUCCCGGCUUAACUGGGAAACCGCAUUCGAAACGGCAUCACUAGAGUCGGCGAGAGGUAUGCGGAACGUGCGGUGUAGGGGUGAAAUCCAUUGAUAUCGCACGGAACACCAAAAGCGAAGGCAGCAUACUAGUACCGUACUGACGAUAAAUUGCUAAAGCGUGGGGAUCA
RNAcentral lists this ribosomal RNA (400 nucleotides) under uncultured bacterium. Its description in RNAcentral is "bacterial SSU rRNA". It matches the Rfam family "Bacterial small subunit ribosomal RNA", at positions 355 to 770 of the family's 1533-position model. The record is from RNAcentral.